GAGAACUCGUUCCACAGCGAGAGCAGUAUAGAGAGUGAGGAGAAACAGCUGUCUGGCAGGGCCGUGGAGCCUGAAUCAGGAGAAUCCUUCGAUCCUCCACUAAGGAACCAGAAUCAGGGCUCUGAGAAAUCACGAGCCCGAGCUUACAGCAGAAUGAAGACUGCUUUUAUUCUCUUGUUCCUGUUGAAAAAUAACAACUCUGCCACCCACCCUUGUCUCCUAUUGCAAGAAGACCUCCAGAGUAAUUAAAUUCAACAGUUGAAAUGAUGUCAGCUUCCGCCACAUCCUCAUUGACUGCACCCUUCACCU
This 309-nucleotide long non-coding RNA is filed under the name Heterocephalus glaber (naked mole-rat). RNAcentral describes it as "lncRNA (ENSHGLG00000046309.1)". Lineage: Eukaryota; Metazoa; Chordata; Mammalia; Rodentia; Bathyergidae. The record is from RNAcentral.